RNAcentral lists this ribosomal RNA (267 nucleotides) under Phaeocystis antarctica. RNAcentral describes it as "partial Bacterial large subunit ribosomal RNA". It matches the Rfam family "Bacterial large subunit ribosomal RNA", at positions 1965 to 2231 of the family's 2925-position model. The record is from RNAcentral. Lineage: Eukaryota; Haptophyta; Phaeocystales; Phaeocystaceae.
UUCCUUGUCGGGUAAGUUCCGACCUGCACGAAUGGUGUAACCAUGGCCUCGCUGUCUCCACCCGAGACUCAGUGAAAUUGAAAUUGCAGUGAAGAUGCUGUGUACCCGCACCUAGACGGAAAGACCCCGUGAACCUUUACUACAGCUUGGCACUGAACAUUGACCCUACAUGUGUAGGAUAGGUGGGAGACUAUGAAGCAUUGUCGCUAGAUGAUGUGGAGUCUACCUUGAAAUACCACCCUUGUACGUUUGAUGUUCUAACAUUGC